Molecule: long non-coding RNA, 180 nt
Filed under: Monodelphis domestica (gray short-tailed opossum)
Lineage: Eukaryota; Metazoa; Chordata; Mammalia; Didelphimorphia; Didelphidae
Description: lncRNA (ENSMODG00000047938.1)
Source: RNAcentral
CAUCUUCUGAGGCACAAAAUAGGGAGGAGAAAAGAUGCCCUGGGUUCAACUGAGACAGGCAAGGGAAGAACUGGAAUGAAGGUCAGGCUUGUACAGGACUCAAGUUGAUCAGUGAGUCAUAGUUUGUUUGUUUCCCUAUUAAUAACCACUGGAUAUAUUUUUUUUUUAGUUAUUCCACUG